This 404-nucleotide ribosomal RNA is filed under the name uncultured soil bacterium. Its description in RNAcentral is "bacterial SSU rRNA". It matches the Rfam family "Bacterial small subunit ribosomal RNA", at positions 26 to 427 of the family's 1533-position model. The record is from RNAcentral.
AGAUUGAACGCUGGCGGCAUGCCUUACACAUGCAAGUCGAACGGCAGCACGGGGGCAACCCUGGUGGCGAGUGGCGAACGGGUGAGUAAUGCAUCGGAACGUGCCCAGUAGUGGGGGAUAACUAGUCGAAAGAUUAGCUAAUACCGCAUACGACCUAUGGGUGAAAGCGGGGAUUCGCAAGAACCUCGCGCUAUCGGAGCGGCCGAUGUCUGAUUAGCUAGUUGGACGGGUAAAAGCCCACCAAGGCGACGAUCAGUAGCUGGUCUGAGAGGACGACCAGCCACACUGGGACUGAGACACGGCCCAGACUCCGUACGGGAGGCAGCAGGUGGGGUAAUUUUGGACAAGUGGGCGCGAAGCCUGACUCCAGCCAUCGCCGCGGUGCGGGGAAGGAACGGGCCGUU